Non-coding RNA from Pseudogymnoascus pannorum, 120 nucleotides. The record is from Rfam. NCBI's taxonomy places the organism in Eukaryota, Fungi, Ascomycota, Leotiomycetes, Thelebolales, Thelebolaceae.
ACAUACGACCAUAGACUCAAGAGAACUGGGCAUCCCGUCCGCUCUGCCAUACAUAAACUUGAGAUCGGUGGAUUAGUAGUUGGGUGGGUGACCACCAGCGAAUACCCACUGUUGUAUGUU